Molecule: non-coding RNA, 31 nt
Filed under: Mus musculus (house mouse)
Lineage: Eukaryota; Metazoa; Chordata; Mammalia; Rodentia; Muridae
Source: RNAcentral
UGCCAACAAACCAAAGAAGCAAGUGAGCAGG